CAUGUGUGUUUCACAGGUUCUUCAGAUGUGGUUCAAGGGUGUCUCCCAUGAGGUUCCUGCAUGGCUCACACAUGGUUCAGGUGUAAUUCAGGCGGGGAUCUCACACGACUCGUUUGGGUCACAUAUGGUUGAGGACACUCUCACACGAGGUUCAGGCAUAGCUCAGCAAUGGCUGACACGUCAUGCAGGCAUGCCACAGAACUGGCUCCCAUUUGGCUGACACAUGAUACAGGCUUUGGUCACGCAUGGCUCACACAUGGUUCAGGUGUGGCUCCUGCAUGUCUGUGGUGUUGGUCAGGAGUGGCUCACAUGUGUUUUUGGCAGGGGUGGCACAUGAUUCAGGCAUGGCAGGCAGGUUGUGCCGGUGUGACUGACACGUGCUUCAAGUGACGCUGACCUGUGGUUCAAGUGUGACUGGCACUUGGUUCAGGCCUGCCUGGCAUGUGACUUGGCGCGGCUGAGCCUUGACACAGGCGUGGUUCACACGUUGUUCAGGCGUGGCUGACACAUGACUCAGGUGAGGUGGAAGCGUGACACAGGCGUGCCUGACACAUCACGCAGUUGUGGUUCACACAUGGAUCAUGCAUGGCCUUCGUGUGGUUCAGGGAUGGCUGGUGCAUGGUGCACGCAUGGGUGGCAGGUGGUUCAGGUGUGGCUGACAUGUGACUCAGGCAUGUGAGAAACAUGGCUCUAGUGUGUCUGACAAAUGUCUCAGGCAUGGCUGACAUGUGACACAGGCAUGCAUCGCACAGGAUCGAUGUGUGGCAGACAUGUGGUCACGCACGUGUGACAUGCUGUACAGGCGUGGCUGCCACGUGACUCACAGGUUGCUGAAACCUGGCUACCACAUACUCAGUCAUGGCUGGCACGUGGCUCACACGUGGCUCAGCUGUGUUUCAUGUGUGGCUCCCUUGUGGGUCAUGUGCGAUUCAAGCAUUGAUCAUGUGUGUUUCACAGGUGGUUCAGAUGUGCUUCAAGGGUGUCUCACAUGUGGUUCAUGCAUGGCUCACACAUGGUUCGGGUGUAAUUCAGGCGUGGCUCACACACGACUCAUCUGGGUCACAAAUGGUA
Molecule: long non-coding RNA, 1071 nt
Filed under: Equus caballus (horse)
Lineage: Eukaryota; Metazoa; Chordata; Mammalia; Perissodactyla; Equidae
Description: lncRNA (ENSECAG00000044615.1)
Source: RNAcentral